RNAcentral lists this ribosomal RNA (490 nucleotides) under uncultured bacterium. RNAcentral's name for it is "partial 16S ribosomal RNA". It matches the Rfam family "Bacterial small subunit ribosomal RNA", at positions 30 to 507 of the family's 1533-position model. The record is from RNAcentral.
AUUGAACGCUGGCGGCAGGCCUAACACAUGCAAGUCGAACGGUAACAGGAAGAAGCUUGCUUCUUUGCUGACGAGUGGCGGACGGGUGAGUAAUGUCUGGGAAACUGCCUGAUGGAGGGGGAUAACUACUGGAAACGGUAGCUAAUACCGCAUAACGUCGCAAGCCCAAAGAGGGGGACCUUCGGGCCUCUUGCCAUCGGAUGUGCCCAGAUGGGAUUAGCUAGUAGGUGGGGUAACGGCUCACCUAGGCGACGAUCCCUAGCUGGCCUGAGAGGAUGACCAGCCACACUGGAACUGAGACACGGUCCAGGCUCCUACGGGAGGCAGCAGUGGGGAAUAUUGCACAAUGGGCGAAAGCCUGAUGCAGCCAUGCCGCGUGUAUGAAGAAGGCCUUCGGGUUGUAAAGUUCUUUCAGCGGGGAGGAAGGGAGUAAAGUUAAUACCUUUACUCAUUGACGUUACCCGCAGAAGAAGCACCGGCUAACUCCGUG